UCUUUGUUUGAAUAUGAUCUUAUGGCAUACAUCUUAUUUGGACUUCAUGAUGAAUAUGAGUCAUUUGUUGAUUCUAUUGAGACUUGCAAUGAAUAUAUGACUACUGAUGAACUUCAUGGUCUCCUAUUGAGCAAAGAAU
Small nucleolar RNA from Malus domestica (apple), 139 nucleotides. RefSeq annotates it as small nucleolar RNA Z247. Lineage: Eukaryota; Viridiplantae; Streptophyta; Magnoliopsida; Rosales; Rosaceae. The record is from RefSeq and is a predicted model, not a curated record.